This 263-nucleotide ribosomal RNA is filed under the name uncultured bacterium. RNAcentral's name for it is "partial 16S ribosomal RNA". It matches the Rfam family "Bacterial small subunit ribosomal RNA", at positions 90 to 354 of the family's 1533-position model. The record is from RNAcentral.
CAUGAGUGGCGGACGGGUGAGUUACGCGUGGGCAACCUGGCCUGUACAGGGGGAUAACACUUAGAAAUAGGUGCUAAUACCGCAUAACGGGGGAAGCCGCAUGGCUUUUCCCUGAAAACUCCGGUGGUACAGGAUGGGCCCGCGUCUGAUUAGCCAGUUGGCAGGGUAACGGCCUACCAAAGCGACGAUCAGUAGCCGGCCUGAGAGGGCGGACGGCCACAUUGGGACUGAGACACGGCCCAGACUCCUACGGAAGGCAGCAG